This 501-nucleotide ribosomal RNA is filed under the name uncultured bacterium. RNAcentral describes it as "partial 16S ribosomal RNA". It matches the Rfam family "Bacterial small subunit ribosomal RNA", at positions 30 to 523 of the family's 1533-position model. The record is from RNAcentral.
AUUGAACGCUGGCGGCAGGCUUAACACAUGCAAGUCGAGCGGAGAUGAGGUGCUUGCACCUUAUCUUAGCGGCGGACGGGUGAGUAAUGCUUAGGAAUCUGCCUAUUAGUGGGGGACAACAUUCCGAAAGGAAUGCUAAUACCGCAUACGUCCUACGGGAGAAAGCAGGGGAUCUUGUGACCUUGCGCUAAUAGAUGAGCCUAAGUCGGAUUAGCUAGUUGGUGGGGUAAAGGCCUACCAAGGCGACGAUCUGUAGCGGGUCUGAGAGGAUGAUCCGCCACACUGGGACUGAGACACGGCCCAGACUCCUACGGGAGGCAGCAGUGGGGAAUAUUGGACAAUGGGGGGAACCCUGAUCCAGCUAUGCCGCGUGUGUGAAGAAGGCCUUAUGGUUGUAAAGCACUUUAAGCGAGGAGGAGGCUCUUUUGGUUAAUACCCAAGAUGAGUGGACGUUACUCGCAGAAUAAGCACCGGCUAACUCUGUGCCAGCCGCCGCGGUAA